AUUGAACGCUGGCGGCAGGCCUAACACAUGCAAGUCGAGCGGAUGAAGGGAGCUUGCUCCUGGAUUCAGCGGCGGACGGGUGAGUAAUGCCUAGGAAUCUGCCUGGUAGUGGGGGAUAACGUCCGGAAACGGGCGCUAAUACCGCAUACGUCCUGAGGGAGAAAGUGGGGGAUCUUCGGACCUCACGCUAUCAGAUGAGCCUAGGUCGGAUUAGCUAGUUGGUGGGGUAAAGGCCUACCAAGGCGACGAUCCGUAACUGGUCUGAGAGGCUGAUCAGUCACACUGGAACUGAGACACGGUCCAGACUCCUACGGGAGGCAGCAGUGGGGAAUAUUGGACGAUGGGCGAAAGCCUGAUCCAGCCAUGCCGCGUGUGUGAAGAAGGUCUUCGGAUUGUAAAGCACUUUAAGUUGGGAGGAAGGGCAGCAAGUUAAUACCUUGCUGUUUUGACGUUACCAACAGAAUAAGCACCGGCUAACUUCGUG
Molecule: ribosomal RNA, 484 nt
Filed under: uncultured bacterium
Lineage: Bacteria
Description: partial 16S ribosomal RNA
Rfam family: Bacterial small subunit ribosomal RNA
Source: RNAcentral